CCUACGGGUGGCAGCAGUGAGGAAUAUUGGUCAAUGGACGAGAGUCUGAACCAGCCAAGUAGCGUGAAGGAUGACUGCUCUAUGGGUUGUAAACUUCUUUUAUAUGGGAAUAAAAUGUUCCACGUGUGGGAUUUUGAAUGUACCAUAUGAAUAAGGAUCGGCUAACUCCGUGCCAGCAGCCGCGGUAAUACGGAGGAUUCGAGCGUUAUCCGGAUUUAUUGGGUUUAAAGGGAGCGUAGGUGGAUCGUUAAGUCAGGUGUGAAAGUUUGGGGCUCAACCGUGAAAUUGCAGUUGAAACUGGCAGGCUUGAGUGCAGUAGAGGUAGGCGGAAUGCGUGGUGUAGCGGUGAAAUGCUUAGAUAUCACGAAGAACUCCGAUUGCGAAGGCAGCUCACUGGACUGCAACUGACGCUGAGGCUCGAAAGUGUGGGUAGCAAACAGGAUUAGAUACCCUAGUAGUC
Molecule: ribosomal RNA, 460 nt
Filed under: uncultured bacterium
Lineage: Bacteria
Description: partial 16S ribosomal RNA
Rfam family: Bacterial small subunit ribosomal RNA
Source: RNAcentral